UACGUAGGUCCCGAGCGUUGUCCGGAUUUAUUGGGCGUAAAGCGAGCGCAGGUGGUUUAUUAAGUCUGGUGUAAAAGGCAGUGGCUCAACCAUUGUAUGCAUUGGAAACUGGUAGACUUGAGUGCAGGAGAGGAGAGUGGAAUUCCAUGUGUAGCGGUGAAAUGCGUAGAUAUAUGGAGGAACACCGGUGGCGAAAGCGGCUCUCUGGCCUGUAACUGACACUGAGGCUCGAAAGCGUGGGUAUCGAACAGG
RNAcentral lists this ribosomal RNA (252 nucleotides) under uncultured bacterium. RNAcentral describes it as "partial 16S ribosomal RNA". It matches the Rfam family "Bacterial small subunit ribosomal RNA", at positions 524 to 776 of the family's 1533-position model. The record is from RNAcentral.